AGGCGCCGCCAGACGGCCGCUCGUCGGGACCGGGCUCGCCCGACCCCGACGGGAGGAAAGUCCGGGCACGACAGGACACGGUGGUGGGUCACGCCCACCCGCCCGCAAGGCUCCGAAAGGAGGCGGCUGAGGGCGAGGGAAAGUGCCACAGAAAGCAAACCGCCGAUGGCCCGGUCCGCCGGGCACAGGCAAGGGUGAAAGGGUGCGGUAAGAGCGCACCGCCCGUCUGGUGACAGACGGGGCACGGCAAACCCCACCGCGUGCAAGCCCAAGCAGACCCCCAUGCCCUCGGGCAUGUCCCUGGUCCGGGGAUCGCGGGGUCGGGUCGGGUGCUGGGGACUUUGGUCCCCCCGGCGUCGGCAACGGCGUCCGGCAGAGAAAUGGCCGUCCGAGCCACGAAGGUCCCGCCGAGCCCCCGUCAAGGUGGCGGGAAACCACGGGGCGAGACAGAACCCGGCUUACCGGCAGCGCCCAGCC
This 477-nucleotide RNase P RNA is filed under the name Planctomycetota bacterium. RNAcentral's name for it is "Planctomycetes bacterium RNase P RNA component class A". It matches the Rfam family "Bacterial RNase P class A". From Rfam's summary of the family: Ribonuclease P (RNase P) is a ubiquitous endoribonuclease, found in archaea, bacteria and eukarya as well as chloroplasts and mitochondria. Its best characterised activity is the generation of mature 5'-ends of tRNAs by cleaving the 5'-leader elements of precursor-tRNAs. Cellular RNase Ps are ribonucleoproteins. The record is from RNAcentral. Lineage: Bacteria; Pseudomonadati; Planctomycetota.